CAGAGUGGAGGCGUGAUGUUCUCUCCACUGGGCCGGCUGCGGGUCGCGCAAGCUGUGCGGAAACAGAUGAGUCAAAUCCCAGUGCUGGGCACUGAAGCAGCUCCCCUGCAGGCGCCUUUGUGCUACCAGCUGUUGUGCGCGCCCCCUAUAGCGCCGAUGCCUGCGUGCGCGCCAUGCGAACUGCCACCGCCCUAUGCUGUUUAUCCACUGCCGUUUGACACGACUCCAGCGAUCUACGGACCGCCAGCCCAAUACGCAUUGGUGCCGGCCCCGUUCAGCGCGCCGUGCUGCGAACCUGCGUGUUGCGCCCCCCUGGACAAGCAGCCGCGGGUCCCCCCACCCCCACUACACCCCGCCUUUAUCUACUAAACCAUACUCCCACUUGGACACAUUAGAUUUUUUUUAAGUCAAACCGAAAAUGCUUGAAGUUAAGUCAGUACUUGACUAUUGUAUGUGCAUUUGGUUUGCGGUACAUUAUAACCUGAUUAAGUCAGUCCAUGACUUAUUGAAUGCUCUAUAACUGACAUCAUUUUGGUUGCACACCAUAUUAAUAACUUAAAUUGUAACCAAAUAAAAAAACAUUUUAAUGUGUUCAAAAUUUCACUUCUAUUGGAUAUGUAUUUAUUUAUAAUUGUUAGAACAUUUCAAUGUAAUUACUGAAGUCAUCGAUGAUGCAAAUGUUGAAAUUGUUUUUGAUAUUUUACGAAUUGUUACUAUACGGGUACCCCAGUAUCAUAAUAGUUCCAAAAAUAGUUGUCUUAGAUGUCACUAUCAUAACAUAACUCCUACAAUACUACAAAAGUUCACGUAAUAUUUGUAUUAAUCAACUUCCUGAUAGUCGACAGUAAUGUUAACUGAUUGUCAGUUGAGGUCUCUAAUCUACCAGCCAUGAAGCUAUGCAGUAAUUUUAUUACUCUUCUAUAAUUAGGUUAAAGUGUUAUAUCUCAAGAUAAGUAGUUAUAUUCCAAAAUUCCAUUGGAAUACUAUAGUACGUGCCAUUUUAUAUUAAAUGUGUAUUGAUGGGGUACCCCAUGUUUUGCUGUUACAUAGUACAGUUAAGUUAUAAAAGUACGAAUGAGAAAACCUAAAACCUAUCCAUUUGGAUCUUUUUACAUUUUUGGCUAUAAAAGACAUUUAUUUACUUUCACUAUUUAUGUAAGUUAGCGUGGGUUUUAAAAAGUCACAAAACUUCCACCACUAGUUUCUAUGUCUUUAUAAAACCUCUUCUUAGUAUGCCAUUAUUCCUUAAAUUUUAGUGUAAUCAUUUUCUCAAAACAAAUUUGGAGUUUUAUGUUUAUAAACUCGCUGCGUGUUAAAUUAUGUGAAGUUAAAUGUAAGUCACUAGAAAACACCCCAUCAGUGAAGACGUCAUUAAAUAAAACUAGAAAAUUACCGUUCAAACUCAGUUAUUGAUUUCCUAAAUUUGGGGUAACAGAUACAGAAAAAAUAACCCCUAUUCCGUUGUGAAAAAAUAUAUAAAGAAAAUGUUAAAUAUAUGUUAUUGUAUUUUUCAUAUAUCUUGUUGACUAAUAAAAAUUAUGUUAUUUAUUAUAUAUCACGCGUUCCUCUUCUAGUGAUUUACAAUGACUCAAGCUUGUUAAGAAUUCCACAUUUAUUGCUCAAGUCUUCCAGUCAUCACGCUCAAUCCGUACCCAUCUCCGAUGCGAAGUGUUCAGUGUGAGUUUAAGUAGAUGUAAGCUUCGGAUCACCGUGGAUUCGCGUGCUAUUGAUGUGGGUUUAUCGAAUUGUUUUGUAAUUUAUUUCUUUAAAUUGGCUAAUUAUAAUUGCUGAUGACGAAGAUUGGUGGUAAAAUAUCUUUUCUCAUUGGCAUUUUAAUAUUAACUCAUUCAUUUUAUGUAAUUUUAAUAUUACUGUCGAAAUUUUUAUCGUGUAAAUCGUCACAGCUAUUCCUCGAACAAAAAUCUAAAUAAAAUAACUAGUGGAAUGUUUUUACAACACAAUUUGAUACAAUCCUUAAUGAAGUGCUUUCAGGCACAACGAAAGUAGCAAAAUAGUUGCUAGAUAAAAUGUUACCUCUCGGAAAAGACACAUUUGUUACUGCUUGUUAUCCUUUAAAAGGAUUACGUUUGUUUAGUGUAAGAGUGUUUUUUUAUUCCCUAAAAUAGAACAGAGGAUAUGAUAUUUUUUGUAUAAUGUUUUAGUUUAUAAAUUGUUGCUGUUGUUGAUUGAAUCUGGGUCCAAGAUGUGAUACAGACAAAUGUUACAAGAUGCUUCUCUAUUCAGUUGUCAGGGAUCAGGCCUCACAUUCGGGGUCUUUGUUGUGUUAUCCGCUAUGAUCAAAGCAAUAAUUCGAGUGGACUUGUAGUUUCGUGAUUGCAAAUGUUAACAAAUUCGUUUCUGUAAAUAUAGGACCAAAUGUUGGCCAAUAAUAGCAAUAGUUGGCGGUUAGUUGGACAAAUCUCUAUACGUAACGGUGUUGUAAUGAAUGUUAAUCUUUUUAUAUCGUAUUCUAUAACUUCUGUGGACUCUACGUGUUUUAUUGGGCGCGUGAAUUUUUUCAAUUCAUUUCAUAUUUCUUAUAGUUAUUAAUAUUUUCACAUGUACCCCAUCAUACUGAUGGCUUACCCCAAAGAGAUUUUAAAUUAGUAAAAGGUGUCCUAUAGCCGUUAUACAGUUAAAUACUUACUUUAUUAUAGUAACUCGCUUGCACAAGUACUAACAAAAGUAUAUAUAUUUUUUAAAGAGAUUCAAAUUAUUGACUCAUGGGUUCUUCCGAAAAAUAGAAUUAUUUAUUACAAAAUUUAAUUUCCAGAAACCACAGUGAUUUGUAGGAGAAUAGCCAAACCAUAUUUCAGAUUAUACAACGUCUGAAUCCAUGGUAGGUUUCCCUAUUCAGGUCACAGGUUGGAAAUAGGUGCCCAAAAAUGUAUUCAUUGGUUCAUUCAUUGCCUUCGCCUUCAAUAACACCUGACUAUUGAAAAUUUCACGCGCCCGACCAAAUUGUGGUCUUUCUGCCUAUAGACAUAAGGCUUUGUCUCAAUUAUUAUAUAUAAAUUCAUAUACGACUAGUGUUAUCGGAAAAGCUGUCAAUUUGUCGUCUUGAAUUUUUUACAUCUACUUAUAUAGCUAGUGUAAAGCCUAUGCUUUGUACUGUCUAUUCCUUUCCCCAUAGAUCAUUUUGAGAGAUUUUCUAAAGGUUUUUGUAAUAUUUUGCCAAACUAAGUGGAGCUCUAGCUUUCCAAAUAAUCAAGCUGUAUUUAAGAAUCUAUCGUGUAUCACUGCUUAAUUGUCGUUCGGGUAAAUAUGGGUCCAAUGUGACCCUAUAAUUAACAUUUAAUUUAUCAUCAUAAAAAAAAAUAUAGUAUAGUUAUCUAUAUCUCCAUCUUUAAAUUUCACUGAAUAUUAUAAAACAAAUGUCUUAAAAAAAUUUAAAGAUAUUUUUAACGGAUUUUUCAAAAUUUGUUUUUCUAUUUCCGCCAUAUUUACACGAACGACCGGCCCUCCAAUAUUACGUGGCCUAGUGACUUACUGCCUAACAUAUCGGAUAACUAAUCACUAUGCUAUAGUUUAUUUUUUUUAAUAACAUUGCAUGGGAACGACAUAAUUAACAAGAUGUAGGAAAAGAAAAAAAGUUGAAUAAUCAUAUCAAAUAUUUUGGAGUUUAAAUGAGGUUGAGAUACAUGUAGGUCUAAAUAGACCCAGACGAAAAAAUAUGUUAAAAUAUUCAACCAAUCACAUUUAAAUUAAAUUUUAAAAAAUCUUCAUUAUAAAUACAUAACUUCCAAUAUCCAAACAUAUGUAAUUAUGGAUUAUUUUGUCACCUAUCCGUGAUCUCCCGAUGUUUCAUCACAACUGCUUUGGUUUCAGAAAUAUCCGUAAACUACAUAUCACUGAAAAAUAGUACAUAACAGAAUGGAAGAUUAAUUUUGUCGUUCCCAUGUGACACUUUGUAAAUAAUCUUUCGCUAGAAUAUAUUAUGUUAGUACGUGGAAAUUUGUAGACAAUAUUAAAUAUAAUUAGUUUAGGUAAUAAUAACAAUGGCUUGGCGUCUAUAUUUCUAUGUGUCAUGUCUGCUAUGAUAGAGCUAAUUGUUAUUGUAUUGUUAGAAUUUCAAUCACUACAUCUAUUUUGUUCGUAUUUCUUGCAUGACUCCUCCCGAUCGGUAGCACUGAUCUUGCUUGACAUAUUCGGGUUUGGAAACAAAGGCUUUAGUAAAAAUUUACUCAUUUGUAAAAUCUUUAUUGUGUUUCUUGAGAAAGGAUAUAUUAUUUAUGUACAUCAGAUAUUAAUUACGUAUUACAAAAAAAUAUUAUUAAGACAAAUUUUAAAAGUAUCGUGGGUCUAAAUUGACCCGAUAUUUCCAAACUCGAAUGUGUUAACUAAAAUUUUUUUUUUUAAUUCUGCUUCCACCACAUUAAGCUUAAAGGGAGGAAUAUGCCGUAAACGAUAGCAUGCAGAGAUUCCGUCUUCAUAUACACAUCAAUGUACAGGGACGUUGACAAUACAGCUGUUUUUAAGAUAUAGUAUUGUCCUUGAAGGAUUAAUGGAUCGAGGUACGUCCAAAUAUUUCCGUUGCUAGUUUUAAGGGUCUCUGGUGGGAUGGUGAGUUGGUAUUUGGGACGAGAAUAGUUCGAACUGGAUUCUUUGAUUCAAAAUUAUUAAAUUAAAAAAAACUUAUUGAUUCAAUUUCACGUCUCAUUACUAUGUAAGUACGGUUGAAAUUUCGAAAACACAAAUAUUAUUUCCUUGACUCUAUAGUAUGAUUUUUACACGACUAUAAGUAUACGAAUACAUUACUACAUUUUUUUUAUUCAGUUCGAGCGAACGGAGGUAUUACCGGCCCACCGCCUCGCCAAGUCGUACCAUUUUUAUAGCAAUACCAAACAUUAUCAAUAUCAACAAUUUCACCUAUAACUUAUAUUAUAAAGCUAUACUUAUUUUUAAUCCUAUGAGGCUCUUAUAUUUCAGCAAGAGUCUGAAAUUUUAAACGUCAAGUAUUAAUCAAAUUAAACUUAUUUCUUAAUGGUGUGUUGUGUAAAUUUUCUUAUAUUUGUGUACAAGCUUGAUAUUUGAUAAAUCUAAAACCAUUAAAUGUCCAAUAUUGAUGUUCUUUUAGUAUUCUUUAUAAAUUUUUCGAAUUGUAUUGAUAUGUUUGGGUUUUGUUGUGGGGAAAAGAGUGGAGUAUUUUUCGUCAAUAUUAAAUAAAUUUAAUAACACACGGAGUCGAGUAAUUGUUUUUUUUUUGUUGUGUGAAACAUAGAUUAAAAAUAUUGAAAAUUAAAUAAAGGUCACGACAGUAACGUAGUUAAAUUGAAGUAUUUUAUUUAAAAUCUUAUUUAAACUUUGUCAAAGUAAAAUGGUAUUUACCAAAAAUAAAUUUAAAAAUCACAAAAAAAUACUUUUAUACAUAAGGGAUUAAUUUUAGAUAACCUAUUCCGGCGAUCAAAUAAAUCUUAUAAUUCCAUGUAACGAGUAAAAUUGGUAUAAGAAUAUAAAAAUAAACUUUCAAAUCCACUCAACCUCCGCAAUAAAACCCAAACAGGAUUUUGAUAAAAAACUUUACAGACGUAGGCCGAUAUUGCGUUAAGUAUAGUUUUGCUAUCCCUUUUAGAAACGAUCGCUGUAACUAAUUCGUUGAUACAAGUUUAUAGCAUUAUUUAUCAUGUUGACUACUUGUAAGGGAUCUGUUAGAGCUGCGCACAGUCAAGCUUACGGACAACAGUAUUACUAGAUAAUUUAAGGUUCCGUUGUUUAUGCUGGGCAUAAUUGGACUCGCCUUUCGUUAGGGGUCUAUAAAGACCCAGUACGUUAAUGGGUCAUUUCAGACCCACCAGUAAAAUAAACGUUUCAAACGCUUGCUCUUACUUCUAAAUUAUACUUCACAAAAACUAAAGUUUUAACUUCAAUGUUAAAUAAAUUGUUUAGUCCAACUAUGCCCAACAAAAUGGCGGACUUCGUCGAAAUGGCGGCAAGCUGUCAAAGCACAAACGUCACUUUAGCGAAGCAACGUCGAAAAGACGCCUAUUUAGAGACGCUCUCGAAAAUUAUACGGCAAAUUAUAAUCGUCGGUGGUUUUUUAAGAUAAAUCACGAAUCAAGCUAUCUCUGUCGUGUAGAUGUGUGUCUAAUGUUGUGCGGAACGUUUUGGGGUCUCACGCCGUGAAUAUAGAUGGCGUUGUCAUAAAUAAUUUGAGAUAACCUAUUUUCUAGUUAUGACCGAAAGAAAUCACUAAGAACUUUGUUAUAUUAUUUUAUACCAUUGUUAAUUACCUUAUUUUAAUAAUAACUCCGAGAAGAUUGUCUUCAAACGAAAAUAAUUCAUAUUUAUAUUCAUACAAAGUUGAAUCCGAGAAACAGUCACAGUUUUCCCGAGUUAGAAGCCUAUAAGCUUCCCAGGAUCUUAAACUAUCUCCAUACCAAAAUUUAUAAAAAACACACACAGACAGACAGAAAAGUGGACUUUGUUUUACAAUAUGUAUAGAUUUAAAGCAUGUACAAAAUAUAAAGUGUAUCAUCAAUUCGACCUCCAAAACGUUUCCCACAACACCCAAUAUAAUAUCUCUAUUCUAUGACUCUAUGUGUUUUAGUGGAUGUGAUUCUAUAUAUUAUAAUAAAUAAAUUAAAAAUUAAUUCUAAAAAAAAUAUACGCUACAGUGAUCACUAUCAUUACGCACAUAAGUAAUAGUGAAUAUAAACGAUUAAUAAUAAUAAAUACGAAUUAAUAAUAGAUAAAUACACACCAUUGUAUCAUCGAAAGUAAUUGUUGUUUGUUAUAGUGUAUAGUUAAUGUAUGUGAUAUUGUUAUAGGUUUAAUGGAUAUUUGAAGCUAAAAUAUAAUUCUACUACUCUUC
RNAcentral lists this long non-coding RNA (6811 nucleotides) under Manduca sexta (tobacco hornworm). RNAcentral's name for it is "uncharacterized LOC119189458". The record is from RNAcentral. Lineage: Eukaryota; Metazoa; Arthropoda; Insecta; Lepidoptera; Sphingidae.